AAAAAAGAAGAUUCUCAAGAUUUUAUUCUUUGUACUUGCCUGAGAAUAUUUCGCCUUCCGUCCUCCUUUCCAUUCUUCACCAACUUUAGUUAAACAAUUUGAUAAUUUGUUUACGUCCAGUAUUUAUCCUCAGCACCCGUUUAGAAAGAAGGUAUGUGGAAAGAAUUAAAGAAAGAAAAUGGAGGAAAGAAGGUAUGUGGAAAGAAUCAAAGAAAGAAAAUGGAGGAAACUUUUUGGAAGGGUUGGCAUUUUUUAAGUCAGAACUCGGUGGAUAUAGAUUAAAA
Molecule: unclassified non-coding RNA, 284 nt
Filed under: Hevea brasiliensis (rubber tree)
Lineage: Eukaryota; Viridiplantae; Streptophyta; Magnoliopsida; Malpighiales; Euphorbiaceae
Source: RNAcentral